This 453-nucleotide ribosomal RNA is filed under the name uncultured bacterium. RNAcentral's name for it is "bacterial SSU rRNA". It matches the Rfam family "Bacterial small subunit ribosomal RNA", at positions 340 to 784 of the family's 1533-position model. The record is from RNAcentral.
UACGGGAGGCAGCAGUGGGGAAUAUUGCACAAUGGGCGCAAGCCUGAUGCAGCCAUGCCGCGUGUAUGAAGAAGGCCUUCGGGUUGUAAAGUACUUUCAGUCGUGAGGAAGGUGUUAAGGUUAAUAACCUUAGCAAUUGACGUUAGCGACAGAAGAAGCACCGGCUAACUCCGUGCCAGCAGCCGCGGUAAUACGGAGGGUGCGAGCGUUAAUCGGAAUUACUGGGCGUAAAGGGCACGCAGGCGGUUAAUUAAGUUGGAUGUGAAUCCCCGGGCUUAACCUGGGAAUGGCAUUCAAGACUGGUUAGCUAGAGUCUUGUAGAGGGGGUAGAAUUCCAUGUGUAGCGGUGAAAUGCGUAGAGAUGUGGAGGAAUACCGGUGGCGAAGGCGGCCCCUGGGACAAAGACUGACGCUCAUGUGCGAAAGCGUGGGGAGCGAAACAGGGAUUUAGAUA